RNAcentral lists this small RNA (76 nucleotides) under Xanthomonas populi. RNAcentral's name for it is "sX9 sRNA". It matches the Rfam family "Xanthomonas sRNA sX9". Lineage: Bacteria; Pseudomonadati; Pseudomonadota; Gammaproteobacteria; Lysobacterales; Lysobacteraceae. The record is from RNAcentral.
GUGUACCCCUCGUACACGCCGGUUCUUCCGCGCCGUCCACGCCCACCUGACGACUGCUCGCUACGUCUUGCGAGCC